UGAAAGUCUGUCGCGUUCCUUGGUGUGGUGUCGGUGAGAAAAGAAGAGCCGCCUCCGCCUCCGCUUGCUCCUUGGGAUCUAGGCGUUCCGGCCGCUGCUACCGCCGCGAAGCCAUAAGCCGCUCCUCCGACCCACCGAGGGACGAGGUAGCUUGCGUCCGGCGCCAGCUCCUCCUCCCUGCGGCCGAGUACGCGGGGGCGGUCUAGAGUUGGCUCAAGAAGCCGCUCGUACGAGCACGUGGGAGACGUGCGGUCCAUGUCGUCUUCUUCCUCCUCGACAUACUCCGCCACAGAUUCCGCCUUGUCUUCUUCGUCCUCGACGAGUUAAACUACCGAUUACUCGUCGUAAAAAGACGUGUUAGGUGAGUUCCUGUUCGACGGGGAGACGGGACCUUCCACAUGAGCUUUUCCCGAGCCCCACACGAUCUACAUCGAACGUUCCGCUGUAAAAAGCAGAUACGACCACGAAAAGACGAGCCAUAGUGACCGUGGCCGUCCUACGACCCCGAUUGUUCGGUUCAGCGGUCAGUUCUGCUCUAGCUGCUAACUCUUGGUUAGUUCCUGUCCGGGUCAAGUUAAGACUGGGGACGUCAAACCAAUCGAUCGUGGUGGUACGAUACCAACACUAUAAACAGACUGUACCACAGUACAACAAAAUAGAAAAUAUAGACAACCUCACUUUGGCAUUUCUGAACCACACCUGUACGUAAUGUAUCGCGAACAACAUACAAUGGCGUCCCCAUGCAGUGACCGUUAGCAACAACCACAAUCUUAACGAUCUAAUAUUGACGGAAUUCGUCAAUAAAUCACGGGUUUCACAACACGUCUGCGUGCGGAAGAGACACAUUCCAGCGGACAAGGGAUGCUUCUCCGUGGAUAAGCAAGUUCUCCGCGGAGGAGAACAUUUUGUCUGCCCUUAGGAACACAUUUAUGGAGCCUCAGUCACUAGUUACUUAGUGUUCAGGAAAG
This 968-nucleotide ribosomal RNA is filed under the name Triticum aestivum (bread wheat). RNAcentral describes it as "partial small subunit ribosomal RNA". The record is from RNAcentral. Lineage: Eukaryota; Viridiplantae; Streptophyta; Magnoliopsida; Poales; Poaceae.